Long non-coding RNA from Balaenoptera acutorostrata (minke whale), 1271 nucleotides. RefSeq lists it as uncharacterized. The record is from RefSeq and is a predicted model, not a curated record. Lineage: Eukaryota; Metazoa; Chordata; Mammalia; Artiodactyla; Balaenopteridae. The transcript has 3 exons.
GAAAAUGCCAAGAGAGACUAAGAUAGAAAAUGGUUGAAGAGGAAGAAGGAAAACUAGGAAAGAUGAUACCAAAGAAACCAAAAGAAGAGAUAAAAACAAGAUAAAAACUGUCAAAAAUAUGUGGUGUUUAAAGCAUCACUCUGAACGCUGUGUAGAAAAGUCUGCAUGGGCUCCCGGUGACCGCCGGAGCACUGGCUAGGAGGCCACCGCGAUCGUGCAGGAGAGAGCUGCUGGGGGCUUAGACCCAGGCUGGGAGAAGUGGACUGAUUCUGGAUUCAUCUAGAAGACAGAGAACACAGGACUUCCUAACGGAAUGGAAUGGAUGAAAAAAACAAACACCCCAGCACCCCCUCUGGACAGACAUUGCCAUGCAGAAGGUCAACUUGGAAGUGAAUGGUUCCUUGAGCCCCUGAGAAACAGGAACCUCACUCAACAGGAUGCAUCCCUGAGCCAGGGCUUCUGGCUUAGCAAGAAGAGGUCCGGCGUUCCCGUCAGAUUGGAAGUUACGUGCAGGCACUCCUGUGCCCCUGCACAAUCUGGCUGGAGUACAUGACGAAAAUUCAAAGUCUCUGCGCAUUUUACGGAAAAAGGAAGAAGCAAUCUUCCAGAAGCAGCGACUAAGAAUAAGAACACUAACUCCCUUCCCCCAACUCAACUGUAUGUGAGUGUGAAACGAAAGGAAUCAUUUUCUGUGGAAUCAGUGUCCUCAGGGAGCAUCCAUGCUCAGGUAGAAGAAGGUAAAGAUACUUUCACAGACCCAUCAUGAUGAGCAUAUAGGGAUUUUACCGUGAAAAGUAAUGUGUCUCAUAGGCACAAUGGAGGGGUCUGAGGGUGAGACUGAAUCUGGGCUUCUUGUGAAGAUUAAAAUAAUUUUGGAUGAAGAGAAUAAUAGGAUUAAUCCUGAUUGCAUCUUGAGAUGAGAUGAAUAAUCAAUUCUAAUUAUUACCUCCUUUCAUCAAGAAUUCUGGGACUUCCCUGGUGGUACAGUGGUUAAGAAUCCACCUGCCAAUGCAGGGGACACGGGUUCAAGCCCUGGUCUGGGAAGAUCCCCCAUGCCACGGAGCAACUAAGCCCGUGCGCCACAAAUACUGAGCCUGUGCUCUAGAACCUGCGAGACACAACUACUGAGCCCACGUGCUGCAACUACUGAAGCCCGCAUGCCGAGAGCCCGUGCUCUGCAACAAGAGAAGCUACCGCAAAGAGAAGCCCGCGCACCGCAAUGAAGAGUAGCCCCCGCUCGUUACAACUAGAGAAAGCCUGCACGCAGCAAC